GACGAACGCUGGCGGCGUGCUUAACACAUGCAAGUCGAACGGAAAGGCCCUGCUUUUGUGGGGUGCUCGAGUGGCGAACGGGUGAGUAACACGUGAGUAACCUGCCCUUUACUUUGGGAUAACUUCAGGAAACUGGGGCUAAUACCGGAUAGGAGCUCCUGCUGCAUGGGGGGGGUUGGAAAGGUUCGGCGGUUGGGGAUGGACUCGCGGUUUAUCAGCUUGUUGGUGGGGUAGUGGCUUACCAAGGCUUUGACGGGUAGCCGGCCUGAGAGGGUGACCGGCCACAUUGGGACUGGGAUACGGCCCGGACUCCUACGGGAGGAAGCAGUGGGGAAUAUUGCACAAUGGGCGGAAGCCUAAUGCAGCAACGCCGCGUGCGGGAUGACGGCCUUCGGGUUGUAAACCGCUUUCGCCUGUGACGAAGCGUGAGUGACGGUAAUGGGUAAAGAAGCACCGGCUAACUACGUG
This 468-nucleotide ribosomal RNA is filed under the name uncultured bacterium. RNAcentral describes it as "partial 16S ribosomal RNA". It matches the Rfam family "Bacterial small subunit ribosomal RNA", at positions 28 to 507 of the family's 1533-position model. The record is from RNAcentral.